GUUUUUAUUUAUUUAUUUAGCCUAGAAUAGUCGUUACACUGACUCUCCUUUACUCUGUACAAAUAUUGAAAUGGUCUUUUAGUAACACAGCUGUGUAUGAAUUGUACUUAGGAGCAGGCAGGGGUGAGAAGGAAAGCGGGAAAUGCUGUGCUUUGGAGGUGUGGGAAAAAAUAUCUUCAACAAAACUGAAGAGACUCUCCUGAGAAGAAUGGAAACUGAUAAAUAAAUGAUCGUGUCAUACCAGGAGGAUAUCAAAGAAGAUAUACCAUCUACAGUGGACAGUGCAGUGAUCAUGACUGGCAGCAACGUGUGUCCUGCAGGAUUGUCCGGAGCCUACCUUUAAUUAUUGGAAGUAAGGCAGGAAGACCAGGAAAUACCCCCUGCACAAGUCUUCAGUCUAUCAAAUGGUGAAGUAAAGAGCAACAGAAGCAAAAACAAAAAGAAGCCUAACGUGAAUUGAACACUGAAAAGGAGAAUUAGUUACUCUGGUUUGAGGACAUUGGUCUCAGACUCUCUCCUUUCUCUCUUUUCCCACUAUCCCUCUCCUUCUUCUUUCCCCUCUGACAUUCUCUCAGCUAUCCUGCUUCUCUCCUCUCUUUCUCUCUUUUCCCACUAUCCCUCUCCUUCUUCUUUCCCCUCUGACAUUCUCUCAGCUAUCCUGCUUCUCUCCUCUCUUUCUCUCCCCCCUAUCUCUCUCCUUCUUCCUCAAUCUCCUCUUCACACACACACCCCCCUCUACUACGUCUCACUUCUCCUCAUAUCUCCCUCUCCCCCGUCCUCUCCCUCACUCUUUCUUUCACUCCUUCCUCUCUCCAUUUCUCCUCUCCUACCCAUCUCUCCACUCACUUUUCCUACCCCUCUCACAUCUUCCUCUCUCCUUUCACUCUCCCUCCUCUCCUACCACUCUCACUCUCUCCUACCCCUCUCACUCUCCUCACUCCGAUCUUUCUCUCCUACCACUCACUCACCCCUCCUACUCCUCGCUUACAUCCCCCCUUCUCACACCCCUCACACUCUCUCCUCGCUUACACCCCCCCCCUUUCCUACCCCUCUUCUCACUCCGAUCUUUCUCUCCUACCACUCACCCCUCUCUUCAAUCUGAUCUUCUCUACUACCACUCACUCUCCUCUACCCCUCUCCUCCUCUCACUACCCCCCCUCUCCUACCGCCAAUCUUUCGCUCUUACCUCUCACUCACCCCCUCUCUCGCCCCCCCUUCUUCCCCCCUCUCCUCACUCUUUCCUUUUUCUACCUUUCUCCCGUAUCACAUCUUACUCACUCCCCCUUGCUCCGUCCGCACCCUCCUCUCCUACCUCUUCUCCAAACGCAGUGGUCUGCUCCUUUGCAUUGGUUAGGAAAAGAUUAAACAGAUACAGAAAAGCCUGGUAUCAAACAGAGCCUCGGGGAGCAGAGACAUUUCACUCACUCUGAGCAUUACUGACAUUUACGACAAAUACGCAAAAUAGGAAGGAGGGAACAGCAAGUGAGGGAGGGAUGAGAGAAGAAGAAACAGAUGGAGAUACAGCAAGUAAACCGCCCGAAAAACCUGAGCGAGGCCCAGAGGACCACAGCUGCCAAAAUAAACUUCCCGCUGAAAGCAGGUUCCUCAGAAGAACUUUAUUGAGUUUUACAGAGUAGAGGACCUGCAGCCAUUCAGACAGACAGACACAGAAGAUCUACUGGCAUGUGUGAGGAGUUGAGCGUGACUAAAGAUGAUGUCUAGAUGAAGGACAGCACCGAGCUCACAUGGAGUGAUUUAGGGAGAAACUGUAAAAUGGCCGUUUUAGAUCCUGCAGUGUAUUUGCAUUGUAGCCCAAAAUAUUAAAAACAAUUCAUUUUUUUCUGUCCUGUGUUGUAGUAGGUCCUGGAAUACCCUCUCAGCCAUUGACGCACACAUCCAGGCACCCCAAGCCUGAGGAACUCGCAGCAAACCUGCUGCGUCAUUUUACCACCCAAAGAGAGCAUUGUAGAUUCUUAAUUUACUAUAUAUACUCUGAACAAUAAACCUGUAAUUUUCCUAACA
Long non-coding RNA from Astyanax mexicanus (Mexican tetra), 2022 nucleotides. RefSeq lists it as uncharacterized. The transcript has 4 exons. Lineage: Eukaryota; Metazoa; Chordata; Actinopteri; Characiformes; Acestrorhamphidae. The record is from RefSeq and is a predicted model, not a curated record.